This 253-nucleotide ribosomal RNA is filed under the name uncultured bacterium. Its description in RNAcentral is "partial 16S ribosomal RNA". It matches the Rfam family "Bacterial small subunit ribosomal RNA", at positions 524 to 776 of the family's 1533-position model. The record is from RNAcentral.
UACGUAGGGUGCGAGCGUUGUCCGGAAUUAUUGGGCGUAAAGGGCUCGUAGGCGGUCUGUUGCGUCGGGAGUGAAAACUCAGGGCUUAACCCUGAGCCUGCUUCCGAUACGGGCAGACUAGAGGUAUGCAGGGGAGAACGGAAUUCCUGGUGUAGCGGUGAAAUGCGCAGAUAUCAGGAGGAACACCGGUGGCGAAGGCGGUUCUCUGGGCCUGUACUGACGCUGAGGAACGAAAGCGUGGGGAGCGAACAGG